AACGAACGCUGGCGGCAUGCCUAACACAUGCAAGUCGAACGAAACCUUCGGGUCUAUUGGCCCACGGGGGCGUAACGCGUGGGAACCUGCACUUAUGUUCGGAAUAACUCUCCGACAGGGGUGCUAAUACCGGAUCAUGUCUUCGGACCGAAGAUUUAUCGCCUUUGGAUGGGCACGCGUUGGAUUAGCUAGUUGGUAGGGUAAAAGCCUACCAAGGCGACGAUCCAUAGCUGGUCUGAGAGGAUGAUCAGCCACACUGGGACUGAGACACGGCCCAGAAUCCUACGGGAGGCAGCAGUGGGGAAUAGUGGACCAUGGGGGAAAGCCUGAUGCAGCAAUGACGCGUGAGUGAUGAAGGCCUUAGGGAUGUAAAGCUCUUUUACCCGGGAUGAUAAUGACAGUACCGGGAGAAUAAGCUCCGGCUAACUCCGUG
Molecule: ribosomal RNA, 433 nt
Filed under: uncultured bacterium
Lineage: Bacteria
Description: partial 16S ribosomal RNA
Rfam family: Bacterial small subunit ribosomal RNA
Source: RNAcentral